This 1816-nucleotide ribosomal RNA is filed under the name human gut metagenome. RNAcentral describes it as "bacterial LSU rRNA". It matches the Rfam family "Bacterial large subunit ribosomal RNA", at positions 443 to 2257 of the family's 2925-position model. The record is from RNAcentral.
UCCGGCAGGACCAUCUGCCAAGGCUAAAUACUUCCUAGCGACCGAUAGUGAAGCAGUACCGUGAGGGAAAGGUGAAAAGCACCCCGGAAGGGGAGUGAAAUAGAACCUGAAACCGUGUGCUUACAAAAAGUCAGAGCCCGUUUUAGGGGUGAUGGCGUGCCUUUUGUAGAAUGAACCGGCGAGUUACGUUCCCGUGCAAGGUUAAGGUGAAGAGCCGGAGCCGCAGCGAAAGCGAGUCUGAAUAGGGCGACUUAGUACGUGGACGUAGACCCGAAACCGGGUGAUCUACCCCUGUCCAGGGUGAAGGUGCGGUAACACGCACUGGAGGCCCGAACCCACGCAUGUUGAAAAAUGCGGGGAUGAGGUGGGGGUAGCGGAGAAAUUCCAAUCGAACUCGGAGAUAGCUGGUUCUCCCCGAAAUAGCUUUAGGGCUAGCCUCGGAAAACAGAGUCGUGGAGGUAGAGCACUGAUUGGGUGCGGGGCCCGCAAGGGUUACCAAGCUCAGUCAAACUCCGAAUGCCAUAGACUUACUUCCGGGAGUCAGACAGUGAGUGCUAAGAUCCAUUGUCAAAAGGGAAACAGCCCAGACCAUCAGCUAAGGUCCCCAAGUGUGUGUUAAGUGGGAAAGGAUGUGGAGUUGCACAGACAACCAGGAUGUUGGCUUAGAAGCAGCCAUCAUUGAAAGAGUGCGUAAUAGCUCACUGGUCGAGUGACUCUGCGCCGAAAAUGUAACGGGGCUAAACACACCACCGAAGCUAUGGCUUGAUGCUUUGCAUCAGGGGUAGGGGAGCGUUGUAUAAGGGUUGAAGGUGUACCGUAAGGAGCGCUGGACAUUAUACAAGUGAGAAUGCCGGUAUGAGUAACGAAAAGAUCAGUGAGAAUCUGAUCCGCCGAAAGCCUAAGGGUUCCUGAGGAAGGCUCGUCCGCUCAGGGUAAGUCGGGACCUAAGGCGAGGCCGAAAGGCGUAGUCGAAGGACAACAGGUCGAAAUUCCUGUACCACCGUAAGCCGUUAUGAGCAAUGGGGGGACGCAGUAGGGUAGUGACGCGGACUGAUGGAUGUCCGUCUAAGCAGUAAGGCUGAUGUGUAGGCAAAUCCGCACAUUGUAAGGCUGAGCUGUGAUGGGGAGCGAAAAUUAUAGUAGCGAAGGUCAUGAUCUCACACUGCCAAGAAAAGCCUCUAGCCAGGUGAUGGUGCCCGUACCGCAAACCGACACAGGUAGGCGAGAAGAGUAUUCUAAGGCGCGCGGAAGAACUCUCGUUAAGGAACUCGGCAAAAUGACCCCGUAACUUCGGGAGAAGGGGUGCCCCGGUAGUGUGAAUAGCACGAGGGGGCCGCAGUGAAAAGGCCCAAGCGACUGUUUAGCAAAAACACAGGUCUGUGCGAAGCCGUAAGGCGAAGUAUACGGGCUGACGCCUGCCCGGUGCUGGAAGGUUAAGGGGAGUGGUUAGGAGCAAUCCGAAGCUGUGAACCGAAGCCCCAGUAAACGGCGGCCGUAACUAUAACGGUCCUAAGGUAGCGAAAUUCCUUGUCAGGUAAAUUCUGACCCGCACGAAUGGCGUAACGACUUGGGCGCUGUCUCAACGAGAGAUCCGGUGAAAUUUUAAUACCUGUGAAGAUGCAGGUUACCCGCGACAAGACGGAAAGACCCCAUGGAGCUUUACUGCAGCUUGAUAUUGAAUUUGGGUACGAUCUGUACAGGAUAGGUGGGAGCCUUUGAAGUGUGAGCGCCAGCUUGUGUGGAGGCAACGUUGGGAUACCACCCUGAUCGUAUCUAGGUUCUAACCUGGUACCGUAAUCCGGUGCGGGGACAGUGU